ACGUCUACAUUAGAUACCCGCGUAGUCCCAGCCGUAAACUAUGCGCGUUAGGUGUAUCGGUGACCACGAGUCACCGAGGUGCCGAAGGGAAACCGUGAAACGUGCCGCCUGGGAAGUACGGUCGCAAGGCUGAAACUUAAAGGAAUUGGCGGGGAGCACCACAACGGGUGGAGCCUGCGGUUUAAUUGGACUCAACGCCGGGAAGCUCACCGGAUAAGACAGCGGAAUGAUUGCCGGGCUGAAGACUCUGCAUGACUAGCUG
Molecule: ribosomal RNA, 262 nt
Filed under: uncultured archaeon
Lineage: Archaea
Description: partial 16S ribosomal RNA
Rfam family: Archaeal small subunit ribosomal RNA
Source: RNAcentral